AUGAACGCUGGCGGCGUGCCUAAUCCAUGCAAGUCGAGCGAACAGACGAGGAGCUUGCUCCUCUGACGUUAGCGGCGGACGGGUGAGUAACACGUGGAUAACCUACCUAUAAGACUGGGAUAACUUCGGGAAACCGGAGCUAAUACCGGAUAAUAUAUUGAACCGCAUGGUUCAAUAGUGAAAGACGGUUUUGCUGUCACUUAUAGAUGGAUCCGCGCCGCAUUAGCUAGUUGGUAAGGUAACGGCUUACCAAGGCGACGAUGCGUAGCCGACCUGAGAGGGUGAACGGCCACCCUGGAACUGAGACACGGUCCAGACUCCUACGGGAGGCAGCAGUAGGGAAUCUUCCGCAAUGGGCGAAAGCCUGACGGAGCAACGCCGCGUGAGUGAUGAAGGUCUUCGGAUCGUAAAACUCUGUUAUUAGGGAAGAACAAAUGUGUAAGUAACUAUGCACGUCUUGACGGUACCUAAUCAGAAAGCCACGGCUAACUACGUG
RNAcentral lists this ribosomal RNA (496 nucleotides) under uncultured bacterium. Its description in RNAcentral is "partial 16S ribosomal RNA". It matches the Rfam family "Bacterial small subunit ribosomal RNA", at positions 29 to 507 of the family's 1533-position model. The record is from RNAcentral.